Nelumbo nucifera (sacred lotus) is the source of this 1010-nucleotide non-coding RNA. The record is from RefSeq and is a predicted model, not a curated record. NCBI's taxonomy places the organism in Eukaryota, Viridiplantae, Streptophyta, Magnoliopsida, Proteales, Nelumbonaceae.
GGACAUAUAUCACCAAUCAGAACGUUCUUACAACACCAUGCAUGCAUACUCGAUGAAAUUCAUCUAGUAGGGUAUGUUUGAUUUGCAGGAAUAGGGGUCCAGAAUCGGAAUGGCAAUCCCCCAAUCAGAAUCCCAUUCCCACUAUUUAAUAUAAGAAAAAACCAAAAUGACAAAAUACCCCUCAAAUCUCUAUCUACUCGAAUCCAACUUUCUAACCCUCACUCAUCCUUUCGUCACUCCCUCCUCCGGCAGAAGUUCGAAGUACUGAUCUGAAUCGAAACUCCGGCGAUAGUGACGACGAGUUUUUCCACUGCAGACCAGGCCAGGCCAAACCACAACAAGCUUCCAGCGGAAAGGAUUUUUCGGUUCUAGUCUCCAAGACCAAGGACACAACAGUAGCAGAAACAAUGGACUACACUGACCUUCCACACUCUCAGAUAGGAAAAGUCAUAGCUUCACGCUUGCUACUUUCAAGACAAACUAUUCCUCAUUACUAAUUGACAGUGAACACAUGUGUUGACAAACUUAUGGAUCUAAAGCAGGAGAACCAGCUGUUUUCUUCCUUAUGAGAUAUUUCUCCAGACCUACAAGGUGCUAAAACACACUUUGAUCAGCAAGUGCAUGCAUGAACGCCCACCUCUCACUAAGAUCAAGGAUUUUGUACUAUGCUCGUUCAACUUGAAAGCUGAGACCUAAGCAACUUCUUUAGACUCAAAACACAUUUUGAUUCAUUUCUCUAUAGAGGAAGAUUUUCCGAAGAUCUAGUUAAAAGAGGUGUUUAAGAUCUAAUCUUUCUUGUUUCAUUUGAUGAAAUGGACAUUUGAUUUUGAGUCAGUUUGGAGACUUUUGUAAUUCCACUUUGGAUCAAUUUUCCCUACCUACCGGUGAUUUUUUUUUUUUUUUUUUGUGAACUUGUUUCUAUCGAUUGCAAUGUUAUUGGGCAUGUUCUGAAAUACGGUUUAUCUCAUUUAAAUCUACUCGAAGACCACCCUCAAUGGGUGUGGAUUGGU